AAAAAGUUGUUAUGUAUGACACAAAAAUAGGCUAUAAUGAAGUUUUGUGCUGAAUAUAUACUCUGGAAACCACAAGACAUUUGUGUGUCAUUCUCAUAGCAUGCUGGUUGCCAUUAAAUUACUCUUGGUAGGGAAUCCCAUGUUCUGAUGGCAGCUGAAUGUAGAAUUCUAUCUUCUUUGUGGUAAGGAGGAAGAAAUGUGUUUGAGAGCAUUUACAUAUAUAUUUUACUUCCCAUUUGUGUGGCUAAUUCUGUCUUUAGAAUAUGGUUUGGCAAGGGGUAUAAUAAAACUUUUAUUUUGGCAAGUCUAAGAUAUCACUCAUAAGUAAGGCAGAUCUUCCCAAAAAAGUUGCUAUACGAAAUUCAAAGCAUCAGUGUUCAUUCACACAUUUCUCUUAGACAGUACAUUUCUCCUCUUUUGUUAGCUUUCCAGGCUUUUGUCAUCAUUGUUCUUUCCUUCUUCUGUCAUCUUUUCAGCUGUCCUAGAAGUGGUGGGUGACUUAGAUCAUGGUGGAACAUAAUGCCAUCUGUAAACACAAGAAGAUUUUAAUGAAAAAAUCCUCAAUGUCUAAAUUAAAGCAAAGCCAAGUUCUUUUCCUUUCCCAAACCACAGCUUUCACAAUGCUUUUCUUCUAGAGUUCAGAAGCCAAGGUUCAUCCAAGCAGCUGGCCCUAUCUGGUUUCUGCAAGUCUAGAUAGAAUAAGGCAGAUAGCAAUUUAUUGUAAAAUUUUUGGGAUAGGUGGAGAGAUAGGAAGCUCUAAAGAAUUCACAUUCAUCUGGCAACAACAAGAAUGCUUGUCUGCUAUCCAUAAAAUCCAAGGUUUAGACCUACAAAGAAUUCUUUGCUGGCUCCUGCUCUGAACCCAGUGUGGACCCUGCAAGGAGUUCCUAGCAGAUCUGCUCUUGUCAUGCCCUUCCGGUAAGACUUUUAACCUGGCCUCCAAAGCUCCAGUGAGAGCUGUCCCUAGACUAUCUCUUCAACCUAGGCCCAAGUCUGUAGACUUCCCCUCUUUCUUAGACAUCUGGUUUAGAGCUUGGUUCCUUGGGAAUCGCCAGGUUCUGCCCUCAUGUGGGCAUCCCAACCUUGUGAAAUUCAAAUGUGGAGUUCUUUAGCUAACAAGGCAGCUUAAUGGGCCUGGGAUUAAAAGCCCAGUAGCUUGUGUCCAGGACUAGUUAUGUAAGAGAACCUCCAAGAGAGGACAGGACAUGGUUUUCUACAAAUAAAUAAGGCAAAGAGGCUACAUUCAUAGUGCCACAGCUGGGGAGCAACUAUGAGCCGUGAAUUUCUCAUGCUAACAAAUCCAAGCUCUUUGGAAAACAGAUGUUGAGGGCUGGGACUGGCACUGGAUCUCCCCUGGCAGGAACUGCAAAGGUUCAGAGAUGGAAGGGCAUCUAGAAAUCAUUUGUUCAUAAACACGGCUGAGGGACCGCAACCUGCUUUCACGCCCUGCCUGGGCUGCACUGCUGGAUCCCUUCCAUGCAGUGUUUCUAUGAGGAAGAAGGCAGAUAUGCAAAGCUUCUGCAGCCCACGCUCUACAGAAAUAAUUAAACAGUUUUUCUUAACCUCUUGAACUUUUC
Long non-coding RNA from Callithrix jacchus (white-tufted-ear marmoset), 1577 nucleotides. NCBI's taxonomy places the organism in Eukaryota, Metazoa, Chordata, Mammalia, Primates, Cebidae. The record is from Ensembl.